CAUUCCGAGGAGCGUUGCAACGGGUGGGCACUGCCCCAACCGCCAGGCUCGGAAGUUCAAACGGCGCUCGCAGUAU
RNAcentral lists this non-coding RNA (76 nucleotides) under Corchorus olitorius. Its description in RNAcentral is "SAH sequence". It matches the Rfam family "SAH (S-adenosyl-L-homocysteine) riboswitch aptamer". The record is from Rfam by way of RNAcentral. Lineage: Eukaryota; Viridiplantae; Streptophyta; Magnoliopsida; Malvales; Malvaceae.